ACUCGAGUGGCGAACGGGUGAGUAACACGUGGGUGAUCUGCCCUGCACUUCGGGAUAAGCUUGGGAAACUGGGUCUAAUACCGGAUAGGAGCCAUCUUUAGUGUGGUGGUUGGAAAGUUUUUCGGUGUAGGAUGUGCUCGCGGCCUAUCAGCUUGUUGGUGGGGUAAUGGCCUACCAAGGCGGCGACGGGUAGCCGGCCUGAGAGGGUGUACGGCCACAUUGGGACUGAGAUACGGCCCAG
This 241-nucleotide ribosomal RNA is filed under the name uncultured Actinomycetales bacterium. RNAcentral describes it as "partial 16S ribosomal RNA". It matches the Rfam family "Bacterial small subunit ribosomal RNA", at positions 89 to 334 of the family's 1533-position model. The record is from RNAcentral. Lineage: Bacteria; Bacillati; Actinomycetota; Actinomycetes; Actinomycetales.